Molecule: ribosomal RNA, 253 nt
Filed under: uncultured bacterium
Lineage: Bacteria
Description: partial 16S ribosomal RNA
Rfam family: Bacterial small subunit ribosomal RNA
Source: RNAcentral
UACGUAGGGUGCAAGCGUUGUCCGGAAUUAUUGGGCGUAAAGAGCUCGUAGGCGGUUUGUUGCGUCGGCUGUGAAAACCUGAGGCUCAACCUCAGGCCUGCAGUCGAUACGAGCAGACUAGAGUGUUGCAGGGGAGACUGGAAUUCCUGGUGUAGCGGUGAAAUGCGCAGAUAUCAGGAGGAACACCGGUGGCGAAGGCGGGUCUCUGGGCCACUACUGACGCUGAGGAGCGAAAGCGUGGGGAGCAGACAGG